RNAcentral lists this ribosomal RNA (502 nucleotides) under uncultured Glomus. RNAcentral's name for it is "SSU rRNA". It matches the Rfam family "Eukaryotic small subunit ribosomal RNA", at positions 569 to 1074 of the family's 1831-position model. Lineage: Eukaryota; Fungi; Glomeromycota; Glomeromycetes; Glomerales; Glomeraceae. The record is from RNAcentral.
AGCAGCCGCGGUAAUUCCAGCUCCAAUAGCGUAUAUUAAAGUUGUUGCAGUUAAAAAGCUCGUAGUUGAAUUUCGGGGUUAGUAGGUCGGUCAUGCCUCAGGUAUGCACUGGUCUCACUGAUUCCUCCUUCCUGAUGAGCCGUAAUGCCAUUAAUUUGGUGUUGCGGGGAAUCUGGACUGUUACUUUGAAAAAUUAGAGUGUUUAAAGCAGGCUAACGCUUGAAUACAUUAGCAUGGAAUAAUGGAAUAGGACGUUCGAUCCUAUUUUGUUGGUUUCUAGGAUUGACGUGAUGAUUAAUAGGGAUAGUUGGGGGCAUUAGUAUUCAAUUGUCAGAGGUGAAAUUCUUGGAUUUAUUGAAGACUAACUACUGCGAAAGCAUUUGCCAAGGAUGUUUUCAUUAAUCAAGAACGAAAGUUAGGGGAUCGAAGACGAUCAGAUACCGUCGUAGUCUUAACCAUAAACUAUGCCGACUAGGGAUCGGAUGAUGUUAAUUUUUAAUGA